UCUAAAUUGGAAAUGGUGGAUUUGAGAA
RNAcentral lists this non-coding RNA (28 nucleotides) under Rattus norvegicus (Norway rat). The record is from RNAcentral. Lineage: Eukaryota; Metazoa; Chordata; Mammalia; Rodentia; Muridae.